This 463-nucleotide ribosomal RNA is filed under the name uncultured bacterium. RNAcentral describes it as "partial 16S ribosomal RNA". It matches the Rfam family "Bacterial small subunit ribosomal RNA", at positions 28 to 507 of the family's 1533-position model. The record is from RNAcentral.
GAUGAACGCUGACAGCAUGCUUAACACAUGCCAGUCGAUCGGGAAGUGGUGCUUGCACCCUGGUAACCACGGCGGACGGGUGAGUAACGCGUAAGGAACUUACCUGCGGGACCGGGAUAACAGCAGGAAACUGCUGACAAGACCGGAUAAGGUCAUUAAGCUGCAUAGCUUAGUGAUGAAAGGAGACGCCUGCGGAGAGCCUUGCGUCCUAUUAGCUAGUUGGAGGGGUAACGGCCGACCAAGGCGAAGAUAGGAAGCCGGCCUGAGAGGGUGGACGGCCACAAGGGGAAUGGGAGGCGGCGGUUGCUACUACGGGAGGCAGCAGUGGGGACUAAUGGACAAUGGGGGCAGGCGUGAUGAAGCAAUUCUGUGUGCAAGAAGACGUUUUUCGGAUGGAAGAGUGGUUUCAGCAGGGAAGAAGGAAGUGACGGUACCUGCAGAAGAAGCGACGGCUAAAUACGUG